RNAcentral lists this transfer RNA (108 nucleotides) under Mycosarcoma maydis (corn smut). Its description in RNAcentral is "tRNA-Gln for anticodon CUG". It matches the Rfam family "tRNA". Rfam says of the family: Transfer RNA (tRNA) molecules are approximately 80 nucleotides in length. Their secondary structure includes four short double-helical elements and three loops (D, anti-codon, and T loops). The record is from RNAcentral. Lineage: Eukaryota; Fungi; Basidiomycota; Ustilaginomycetes; Ustilaginales.
GGUUGUAUGGAGUAGUUGGUUAACUUAGGAGAUUCUGAUCUACCUCUCUUCGGAGAGCGAUACGAUUCGACCUUUCUCUUGCCCUGGGUUCGAAUCCCAGUACGACCU